This 229-nucleotide ribosomal RNA is filed under the name uncultured bacterium. Its description in RNAcentral is "partial 16S ribosomal RNA". It matches the Rfam family "Bacterial small subunit ribosomal RNA", at positions 568 to 796 of the family's 1533-position model. The record is from RNAcentral.
UGCGUAGGCGGAAAAUUAAGUCAGUGAUGAAAUCCUGCAGCUCAACUGUAGAACUGUCAUUGAUACUGAUUUUCUUGAAUUUAGUUGAGGUAGGCGGAAUGUGUAAUGUAGCGGUGAAAUGCUUAGAUAUUACACAGAACACCGAUUGCGAAGGCAGCUUACUAAGCUAACAUUGAUGCUGAGGCACGAAAGCGUGGGGAGCGAACAGGAUUAGAUACCCUGGUAGUAC